RNAcentral lists this long non-coding RNA (219 nucleotides) under Eucalyptus grandis. Its description in RNAcentral is "long non-coding RNA (EGRA_LNC005923)". Lineage: Eukaryota; Viridiplantae; Streptophyta; Magnoliopsida; Myrtales; Myrtaceae. The record is from RNAcentral.
CACGCACGGGUAUUUUUAUUAGAAAGGAUAAAAAUGGUGAUUUGAUUAAAUGAUUAUUCCGGCAUACUAUAAAGGUAUGGUUGGCAGCUUCUGGUGAGAAUUGGGGGUAUACUAUAUCGGCCUUCGGGCGAUAUGUCAGCUUUGGGUGAGCAGUAUACCAGUAUACUAUAUCGACCUACGGGCGAUAUGUCAGCUUUGGGUGAGCAGUAUACUUUAUUA